UCCCUGGUAGCUCAGCUAGUAAAGAAUCCGCCUGCAAUGCAGGAGACCCAGGUUCAAUUCCUGGGUUGGGAA
Non-coding RNA from Bos taurus (domestic cattle), 72 nucleotides. The record is from Rfam. NCBI's taxonomy places the organism in Eukaryota, Metazoa, Chordata, Mammalia, Artiodactyla, Bovidae.